CUCAUCUUGGAAUUCAACAAAGCCGGAGGCCGGGAUGAUUUAGAAUCUCUUGGAUAUGUUCUCAUAUAUCUCCUAAGGGGAAGGUAAAUACUCCAUGCACUUUUAACUGUCUAUGCUCUAUAUUGCAUAUAUAGUUUGGACCACAUAUUAUGCUCCAUUUCUAGUUUCUGGCAGCUUUCCUUGGCAGUACUUUAAAGCAGUAAAUCCAGAAAAGAUCGAAGUCAGAAAUGGUUAAAAGUUUGAUGGAUCCCACUUCUAUUGAGGACUUAUGUCACGGUUGCCCCAUAGAAUUUGAGUCUUGCUUUCAUUACUGUCGCUCACUUCACUUUGACAGUGAGCCAGAUUAUGGCUAUCUGAAAAGAAUGUUCAGACAUCUUUUUUCUCGUGAAGCUCUUGGUAGGUCUUCAGUGUAUCCUUUGAGCAGCAGAAUAGCAAGGCCAUCAAUCAGUGUUGGAAGAUUUCCAGAAGAGAAGAAUGUUGCAAAGGUUUCAGAAGUAGCUCUUGGUGCUAAGGUGGUAAUUGCUCCGAGCUCCUUCGUGCCAAGUGCGCCAUCAAGGCGCCACUAGUGCCCUACAAGCUUCUGCCUCUUAACAGCGGGAAUACUACUCCAGUGCCAGAUAAAUCAAGUCCCUCUUGUGCUCAAACCAGCAAAUCUGUCCAGAAGAGAGAAACUCAGCAGAGAAACUCUUCCAGAUUCUCGAAGCCAAGGGCACAUCUUCCGGCAGAAAGGGUUGGAAACCAUGAGCAUAUUUUUAAGUGCUUGAGGGCCAUACCCUAAACAAUGGUGAGAAAUGUUAGCUUUGAGGGAAGCUGUUUGACAUAUCCCAUUCUCCUCUCAUGUAAAUCGUAAUUUGUCAUAGUACUGUUACAUCUUAAGCUAAAAUUCAGCUUCUAUUAGCAUUCUUUUCUAUUCACACUUCAUAAUUUACUGAUGA
Alnus glutinosa is the source of this 935-nucleotide RNA transcript. RefSeq lists it as uncharacterized. The transcript has 4 exons. The record is from RefSeq and is a predicted model, not a curated record. Lineage: Eukaryota; Viridiplantae; Streptophyta; Magnoliopsida; Fagales; Betulaceae.